Sparus aurata (gilthead seabream) is the source of this 2886-nucleotide long non-coding RNA. NCBI's taxonomy places the organism in Eukaryota, Metazoa, Chordata, Actinopteri, Spariformes, Sparidae. The record is from Ensembl.
GAGCACUGUUAAAAUAAUUUUGAGGCACUGACACAGUCCAGGGGCAAUCCAACUCCUCAGGAGCAGCCAAGGCUGAUGACUGACGUGAUCAAAAACUGUCACCAUGUAUAUUUAAUUUCUAGUCAAAUUAUCUCAUUAAGAUAUACUAAUAUAAGACAUAAUCAUAUGACAAGGGAUAUGUUUUUCAUCUCAGGUCCAUCUCUAUCCUCUGCUCCCACUGACCUCUCUGCAACCUCAGCUGUACCUGGUCCAUCUCUAUCCACUGUGCCCACUGUCCCUUUUGUGUCUUCUGCAACCUCAGCUGUACCUGGUCCUUCAUCUUUGGUCAUCGAGAUUGAUUUGUCCUCAUCAGCGUCCAGUUUGGAGCAGGGAUCAGCAGCUCAGCCAGUUGACCCAGCUGAGUGUCUCUCUUUCCUGUCAGACUCAGAAAGGACUGAACAGCCCAGUUUGUCCUCACCUGGUGAAGUUGUGCAGAUCAGCUGAGUCGUGUGUGAGUCUUCUUGACUUCCAACUGGAGCUGCUUGUCUGAUGAAUUCUGAUUCUGGGAGGAAAUGUAUCAACUGUAAGAUCUCUCUUCCACCGACUCCUCCCAUGGCACACUGUGACGAAUUAUUUAUUCAUGUCACUGCCCUCAGGACUGAUACCUGUAGUCAGGUGAUAACAUUGUUCUUUAAAGAAAUAAAGAGAUAACUAACUUAGUGUGCUGCCUUCUCUCACUUCUGCCAGACUUUUACUGAACCCCAGUAUGUGUUUUAACAUUGUCAAAAUAAUAAAACAGUCUCAAUUAAAAAUGUGUUUUAUAAUCCUUUACAUAGAAAUGAUAAGAUUAUACAUUAUUUCACAAGCAUUUCUUUUAACCUUAAUUACACAAAUGUUUCCUGAACAUUGAAUAUCAAACAACAGGACAACCAAACAACAUAUAACAUACUUUAUCACCUAAGCAGAGUUAUUUCACAGGGAACAAACAUCACAAUAAACAGACUGAGAAGACUGCCACAUGUUAAUGCCCACACUGGGUAAAGUUUUGUCUUGCAGAAAAUGUUCUCACUUCCUCUUUCACCUCCCUGAUUCCUGUAGAAUGAAAAUGAAAAUGAGGUGUUAAAGCUGACUACAGUUGAUCAGUUUUCAUUUGGAGGUCUAUUGGUGAGUGUUUCCACAGAACUGCCCCUCCAAAACCCCACAUACUGAAAGUCUGUGUAGAUUUGUAUUUGUUUAGUCGUCUCAAGUCGAACUGACUCCAAACACCUGUAAAGCUCUCAGAAAUUCAGACUGAUUUAACUGAAUCAUGAGCUUCAAACAUUUUUGAAAAUAUUCACGCUAAAAAAAAAUGGAGGACCAAAACUGCCAAAAUCUAAAACAGACAAAGAAAAAACCACCUGGCAGCCAGUAUUUUUUACCAUUUGUUGAUGGAAUAUUUGUAAUGUUUUUACUGUCUGGAGAACACAGUAUCUGUGUGAAACAGGCAGGCAUAACAUACAAGAAGGCCUUUGUGGGGUUUUUGAUCUGAUAUGAAUGCUGAACACACCCAGCUGGCACUUCACCAACACCGGCAAGUCUUUUGUGUAAAGGAAUGUAGAAAUACUAAUCCGACAGAAACUCUCUUCUGACUUCAGGCAUGCACGCCUCCAGACACGACAACCAAUGUGAACAUUAUGUUUUAAGGAACGAGGAAAUAAUGAGACAUAAAUAAUUCUCCCUGUGUUUGCAUGAGUUGCAGCUUCCUAACACAGUCCAAACUUGUCUGUCAGGUUAUAUGUAGCAAAAUUAAAAUGAUUAAUCCAUCAAUUAUUCAUUCACAUGUGUACAUAAAACCAUUUUCAGCUGUCAUCACUCCUGUGGUGCAAUGGCACACAGUGUUAGCAAAUAGAAGUUCAUUGUGUUCUCUUAUUCUGAGAAAUGAAGCCUAUUCCAUGCAAGAAAUUGUCAAGAAACUAAAGAUCAUAUAGAAGGCCGUGUAAUGCUGGAAUCCAGCACUGCCGGACAGCUGCAGUUGUGAGAUCGAGGAGUCCCUGCGAUUAUUAAAUACAGUUAAACGUAUGUGUUAUAAACACAACAACCAGAACUGUUACUGACUAAAGGAUUGGAAGAAGUGCUUGGAUUUGUCUCUUUUUUGAGAUUCUUGUGCUGGCGUCAAAACAUGGAGUAAUUUAUCAUGAAAAUUAACAGGAUGUUAUGUUGUUGUUUUGGAGUGUGUUUUCCUGUUUGCUCUGUGCUGAGUUCAGCUGAAUUACUGAGCCGUGCUCCGACAUCCGGCAGAAAUAGAAACCUUGCAAAUCUACUGCCGAAGUGUCAGGCCUAGGCUGGAACGAGGACUCAGAAGCAGAGUGAGAACAGUUUUACCAAGUCUUUAUCCGGAAAAUUCCACAAUAUAGCCUAUUGAGUUGUGACAGAGUCACAACUCAAUAGGCUAUCAAACACUACUAUCUCUAGAACAGGAAAAAGGGAAAAGGGGAGGGGGACAGAAUGAGGACGAACCACAAAAAGGCAACAAAAAACACUCCAAGGGAGGGAAAAUAAUAGGCUGCAAACUGGUCUACUCUAUUAAGGAAUUCCUAUAAAAAAUUAUCAACAGAAAACAAGGGGGGAUGCAAGGGCUACAAAACAUAUACUACACUGAACUCCUAACAAAAUAACAAAGAACAGAAAACACUCCAAGAGGAGGGAAAACCAAACUACAAACAAAAUGACAAGAACAAAAAACACUCAGAGAGGAGGAAAACCAAACAAAACCAAAACCUAGCUACGACUGAGCUGAAAAAUACUACAAACAAAAAAUCACUCUUCUUGAGAAGAAAACAAAGGAAUCUAGAAUACAAACGAAUACUUGGCAUGGAUCAAUGGCUGUGGUCAGGGCUGGAAGUAUGAUGAUAUCGAUGAGGGUGGGGU